Molecule: non-coding RNA, 494 nt
Organism: Malus domestica (apple)
Lineage: Eukaryota; Viridiplantae; Streptophyta; Magnoliopsida; Rosales; Rosaceae
Source: RefSeq, a predicted model, not a curated record
CUUGGUCAGAGAGAAGGCUGGAAGCUGAGCGGCCAUCAAUGGCGGCCCAACCCAGGAGGAGGAAAGCUGACGAACCAUCGUCUUUCAGUGGGAUUAAGGUGCCUGCACCGGUCGAGAACAAGAGCAGAGUUGGAACGUCAGUAAGUAACAACAGUUCCAGAGUCUCAAAGUACAAGUGCCGGAUUGAAUUUGAGGAUUGUGCAGGCCAAAAAUGCGGCAGUUGCACAAGCGCAAAAAGAUGGUGCGACCGGAAGCUAUAGGAUCUUUGAUUCGCCCUUCAGGAAUUAUCUUGUUCGUGUAAAAUCCCCACUGCCAAGGAACUAGCUGACUAGCUAGUUUCUUAUGAAACCAUAGGCACCCUAACUAAUCGACUGAUUGAUUUUCUAUGGGAAAUGUGAUCGCAAUACAUGUAGAAUGUGUCACUAUGAUUCAUGCAUUUUGCAGGGUUUCAUCACCAAUUAAAUAUCAUACUUUUGAGAGAAUUUGCCCCGUAA